Cephus cinctus (wheat stem sawfly) is the source of this 68-nucleotide non-coding RNA. Lineage: Eukaryota; Metazoa; Arthropoda; Insecta; Hymenoptera; Cephidae. The record is from the annotation of a RefSeq genome assembly.
AUUUAUAUAAUAUAUAAAAGUAUAUUUAACUUCCAAUUAAAAAGUCUGAAAUUUAUUCAGUAUAAAUA